CCUACGGGCGGCUGCAGUGAGGAAUAUUGGUCAAUGGACGAGAGUCUGAACCAGCCAAGUAGCGUGAAGGAUGACUGCCCUAUGGGUUGUAAACUUCUUUUAUAUGGGAAUAAAAUGUUCCACGUGUGGGAUUUUGUAUGUACCAUAUGAAUAAGGAUCGGCUAACUCCGUGCCAGCAGCCGCGGUAAUACGGAGGAUCCGAGCGUUAUCCGGAUUUAUUGGGUUUAAAGGGAGCGUAGGUGGAUUGUUAAGUCAGUUGUGAAAGUUUGCGGCUCAACCGUAAAAUUGCAGUUGAAACUGGCAGUCGUGAGUACAGUAGAGGUGGGCGGAAUUCGUGGUGUAGCGGUGAAAUGCUUAGAUAUCACGAAGAACUCCGAUUGCGAAGGCAGCUCACUGGACUGCAACUGACACUGAGGCUCGAAAGUGUGGGUAUCAAACAGGAUUAGAUACCUCAGUAGUC
This 460-nucleotide ribosomal RNA is filed under the name uncultured bacterium. RNAcentral describes it as "partial 16S ribosomal RNA". It matches the Rfam family "Bacterial small subunit ribosomal RNA", at positions 338 to 795 of the family's 1533-position model. The record is from RNAcentral.